RNAcentral lists this ribosomal RNA (253 nucleotides) under uncultured bacterium. RNAcentral's name for it is "partial 16S ribosomal RNA". It matches the Rfam family "Bacterial small subunit ribosomal RNA", at positions 524 to 776 of the family's 1533-position model. The record is from RNAcentral.
UACGAAGGGGGCUAGCGUUGUUCGGAAUUACUGGGCGUAAAGCGCGUGUAGGCGGGCCGUUAAGUCGGGGGUGAAAGCCCAGAGCUCAACUCUGGAACUGCCUUCGAUACUGGCGGCCUGGAGCAUGAUAGAGGCGAGUGGAAUUGCGAGUGUAGAGGUGAAAUUCGUAGAUAUUCGCAGGAACGCCAGUGGCGAAGGCGACUCGCUGGAGCAUUGCUGACGCUGAGACGCGAAAGCGUGGGGAGCAAACAGG